CUCUCCCUGGACAGGUUUAGACUCUUUGUCUCUUAUCGCUUUCUAAUCAUUUAUAUUUUCAUCACUGUCUCUUCCUCAGGGUUUCUUUGGCAGCAUUCUCUUAAGUUUAGUCUGUUUGCUAGACACAGAGUUAAUGUUAUUAUUCUAUACUGGCUUCCAGACACAUUGUCCAUCACUUAGCCAUGACGGGGAAGUGAGCCAAAAAUGAAUCAAGCUAUCACACCCCGAUGGAUCUCUUGGAAACACGAGCAGGAGAAGCCAGAGAGGAAAUUCUGUGGUACAUCUCAGCACAGGAGUGGGAUUCCAGAUGAAUUAGUGGUAGAGAGGGGCUGGAAGUUUGCAUAACAUCUAGUGGCCUCAUCUAGCAUCUGUCCCUAUCACUCUCUAGACUCCAGGUCCUCUUUCUAGCAGAGAGCGUGAUUCAAUCCUUACCCCAUGCCUUGGCCAGAUAAUGAUCUUUUUCACGCCCUUUAUUUUUUUAUUUUUAUUUUUAUUUUUUUAACAUAAGAUUAUUAUUAUUAUUUUUUAAUUAUUUGGUUUUCUCUAAUCUCUGCUAAUCUCAGCCUGUUGGACCUCUCCACGUAGCAGAUGGCGGGUUGAUUGCAGUGUGUAGCUCAUCCCUGGCUGUAGUGCAGGAGCCGCAUCUCCCGUGGAUGGAAAAUCUCCUGAGUUUACCUUUGCUAAGUGGUAAUUGCUAAUUUGUUGAGGGGAAGCCAGGGAAGUGGAGGAGGGCUCUUGAAGCAGACAAAAGGGGUGUGAUAAUCAGCUCCUUUGUGGCAGGAACCUGCAGGCUUUAGACUUGCAAAUUGUUUUACAGUAUGUUAGGAGGUGGGGCAUGGGUGCUGGAGAGUGCCAGCGUGUAGACUCCCCAGCACAAGUGAGAGGAAGAAAAGUUGCAGAAGAGAGAGAAAUUGUAAGCAAUUUGCUCGUCCUGCGGGUAUAACUUCUGAAAACAUCAACAAGAACCACAGGUAAUUUACGGAGAGGCCCAGGGAACUCUGCUGGGAGGAAGGAAGAGCCUGACACACUGGAGAGGAGAAAGAGGACCCCAGACUGGAGUCCUUAACUCAUCAUUCGUAAGGAGAAAUUUAGCUCAGGGCUUUGGGAUGGUUUGUACAUAAAUCCACUGGACCAGAAAACAGAGAGAUGGGAGCUGGUUGUGUUGGGCUGUCCCGAGGGAGAAUCCAAACUGCAGGGAUGCUGUCCUCAGAUUGGUGUAAAUCAGGAGCCAUUCAGCUGAAGCCCAAGGCGCUCAUCAACUAUUUGGCUCACCUAUGAGCCUGGCCACAGUGCCCUUGGAUGGAACAAUUUCCAUUUGAAGCCGUUCUCGUAGCUGUGCAGACAUUUCCCAUGAGCUGCUGGCACCUAAAGUGAGGCUGCAGCUCUGGGAUGCAAUGAACAAACCCCGCGCGGCUGCGGAGCAUCAAACUCUUGGCUCUGUUAGCUCAGCUCCUCAGUACUGACGUCAGACUUGGGAUGUCUACCCAACAGGCUGCCCAUUAGGCCAGGUAAAUUGUGGUACUAAACGACAAUAAGAUAUUCCCUCCUCCCCUCCUGGGUCUCCCAGUCCAUCUCACCUGGAGUUUCUGAGGUGUAGCUGAGGUGGAGCCGAGAGGUGAGCCGGGAAUGACAAAAUCACAGGGAAUUCCUCAUCUCUCUUGACUUCGAGGCUGGACCGUGGUCCUUUGAUGCUAACAUGAGCCUGUCCUCCAUUUAUCUAGACAUUGUGUCAGAACUUAAAUGAAUAUCGCAGAAGAUGCCAUGUAGGAGCAGGCUAGGAAAUCAGAAACACUGCUCUCAGUGAGCCUGGCUGAACCUAGAGCAAACCCAGCGCAAGAUCCAGGGCUGAGAUCCUCUCGUAGUUGCCACUGGAUCUUCAUCUUCAGCCGUGAGAACAUCUGGGAACAAUAUGGUACCAAUGGCACUCGCUACAGAGCUCGAUGUGUUGGAAAUCCUGCUUGGGAACCAAAAUCAAAUCUUCAUUCUGGGUACAUUUCCCAAAGACCAACAUUGUGAUAUCCCUGAAAGCACCAAACAGGGGCCCAUUAGAGUGCUUGUGUUUGAACAUUUGAAGCAAUUAUUCACGUUCACCCAGCUCCGAAGAGCUACCAAACGCCAUGUGUUUUUCCUCAGUGUUAAUAAAAACCUAAAUGAUUCUUCAUUAAGAAGCCCAUUAAGAUGACUGCGGUUUCCUCGAAGCUCAUUAGAGGAUAUUCUCCCCACUAAAUUAUCACACUGGAGUUUUGGAGAAAUCUGAGGAAAGAUGCCCUAUUGUGAUUAAUUCAUGAUAAAUUCUCGCUCCCUUGCUCGCAGUCUGCUCUCCGGGCUCCGCUUUGGGUUGCAGGGAGGAUGAAAGUGAUGCUUCGGCAUGGGAGCGAUGUCCCGGAGGUGUUCCUGCCGUCCGUCUGUGCAGGGCUUCUCCUCCUCUUCCACCAGGAGC
Long non-coding RNA from Oxyura jamaicensis (ruddy duck), 2440 nucleotides. RefSeq lists it as uncharacterized. Lineage: Eukaryota; Metazoa; Chordata; Aves; Anseriformes; Anatidae. The transcript has 2 exons. The record is from RefSeq and is a predicted model, not a curated record.